GUGGGGAAUAUUGGACAAUGGGCGCAAGCCUGAUCCAGCAAUGCCGCGUGGGUGAAGAAGGUCUUCGGAUCGUAAAGCCCUUUCGACAGGGACGAUGAUGACGGUACCUGUAGAAGAAGCCCCGGCUAACUUCGUGCCAGCAGCCGCGGUAAUACGAAGGGGGCUAGCGUUACUCGGAAUUACUGGGCGUAAAGGGCGCGUAGGCGGCUCUGUUAGUCAGGCGUGAACUUCCUGGGCUUAACCUGGGGACUGCGCUUGAUACUGCAGGGCUUGAGGCCGAGAGAGGGUGGUGGAAUUCCCAGUGUAGAGGUGAAAUUCGUAGAUAUUGGGAAGAACACCGGUGGCGAAGGCGACCACCUGGCUCGGUUCUGACGCUGAGGCGCGACAGCGUGGGGAGCAAACAGGAUUAGAUACCCGGGUAGUCC
This 425-nucleotide ribosomal RNA is filed under the name uncultured bacterium. RNAcentral describes it as "partial 16S ribosomal RNA". It matches the Rfam family "Bacterial small subunit ribosomal RNA", at positions 354 to 796 of the family's 1533-position model. The record is from RNAcentral.